ACCAAUUCUGAAGGAUUAAAAAUGGUUCCUUUAGGUAUAAUGGCAUUGACGCAAGAUUAUUUGUGGUAUAUCCUGAUCAUUUGGCUUUUUUCUAUGUUACUUGAUCCUGGAAAUGCCUCGCACAUUU
This 127-nucleotide small nucleolar RNA is filed under the name Arabidopsis lyrata subsp. lyrata. Lineage: Eukaryota; Viridiplantae; Streptophyta; Magnoliopsida; Brassicales; Brassicaceae. The record is from RNAcentral.